ACCCUUUCCUGCUCCCCAGGACAGUCUCGUGGCCAUCCAGGCUUUACUGGGAUGCUCACAGAUGGUCUGGCUUCUUUCUAAAGAAGCAUCAGUUGCUUUUAUCCCUGCCAGUGAGAUUUCAGUAACAAAACCAGCUCCUGGCUCCUUUUGUUGCCUACCUGCCUCCCCAGGGAGGAUGUGGAGUUCAGGUCCAUUCCAUGUGGCUGGAGAGAAGGAGAGUUGUGUUCAAGGCACUGUUUUGCAGAGGAUAACCUACCUGUGAGGGGCUGGCAGUAGGUGGCGGUGGAAAGAAAACUCAUUGUGUGUUUAAAAACCAGGACAUCUUCAAGAAAUGUCACAGAAUCCUUGAGUAGACAUGAGCAAACAGCCCUGGGGGAUUCAUUUGUCUUUGCUGUCAAGAGGAAAAUUAAGACUCCAGGGGACACAGAGGCUGGGUUUGAUGGAUGCUCGAAGCAGAAGGCAGGCGGGUCAGCAUUCCUGUCCCCCAGGAAAACAGGUUCUGCCCCUGGAGAAAAGUGACUGGAACAAGUGUACACCUGUGCAGGGGGGAGAGGGAGUGGGAAGAUAAAUGGUGGAAAAGUCCCUAAAAUUAAAAGUGUCUCUUCUUGUUCGGUAU
Long non-coding RNA from Lepidothrix coronata (blue-crowned manakin), 616 nucleotides. RefSeq lists it as uncharacterized. The record is from RefSeq and is a predicted model, not a curated record. Lineage: Eukaryota; Metazoa; Chordata; Aves; Passeriformes; Pipridae. The transcript is spliced from 3 exons.